GGACUACCGGGGUAUCUAAUCCUGUUUGCUCCCCACGCUUUCGUGCCUGAGUGUCAGUGCUGAUCCAGGGUGCCGCCUUCGCCACUGGUGUUCCUCCCGAUCUCUACGCAUUUCACCGCUACACCGGGAAUUCCACACCCCUCUAUCGCACUCUAGCUUGCCAGUAUCCACUGCCAUUCCCAGGUUGAGCCCGGGGCUUUCACAGCAGACUUAACAAACCACCUACGCACGCUUUACGCCCAGUAAUUCCGAGUAACGCUUGCACCCUUCGUAUUACCGCGGCUGCUGGCAC
RNAcentral lists this ribosomal RNA (292 nucleotides) under uncultured bacterium. RNAcentral describes it as "partial 16S ribosomal RNA". The record is from RNAcentral.